Molecule: long non-coding RNA, 2249 nt
Organism: Dendroctonus ponderosae (mountain pine beetle)
Lineage: Eukaryota; Metazoa; Arthropoda; Insecta; Coleoptera; Curculionidae
Exons: 2
Source: RefSeq, a predicted model, not a curated record
GGUCGUUUGGUACAAAUAUGCCCGCCAAAAAUUCAGCAAAUACAUCCGCUUUUUGUUGGUCAUCGCGAGCCCUACCGCGUAGUGCCUUUCUACUAGGCGGUAUCGACACAAGUGGUUCUCCAACUUUCUUUAUAACCUUCCACAGUGAAUAUUCGUUUUCGAAGUUUCGUUUUCUGCUGAUAAAUUUGCAAUAAAAGAAUUGAGAUAAUACUGUUGAAAUCUGAAAAUUUCACGUUUUAGCUUUUAAGUUUGUCUAUUUAAUCACUCCUUAUCACUAGGUUAACGUGUAUGUUGCCAUCGGCUUUGAAUAAAAUCCGAAUUUCAUCCGUAUAGUUUACACAUUUCGCGAAGUGAGGAACUUCUUUGCUGUUUUUGUGAGCAAAUGUUUGUAGUAAAGUCACAAACUUUUCGGUUUCUGUGUCGUUGUUCGGCUGUUUUCAAGCUUACGUUCAACGUGAUUUCCUGUUGUAAGUCAGCGUGGAAGCUCUUCCAAGCAGCCAAUCAACUAAUGCUGAAUGGUCUGAUUGAACAUCAAAGAAGUGCUGACUAACAAUUUUUCCAAUUCAAGAUAACACAUUGCCAGGAACAACCCGUUUCAAGCGGAUGGAAGCAUAUACUUCGUUAAAGAUGACUUCGUGAACUACAGCGUAUAAUAAAAUAGAAUUUCCUCGUUCGAAUGAAACAGCUUUUUAUCUAUAGGUCGAUCACUAAGUUCUUAUAAAGGUACGAAUUUGCAUCGGACUUAAUCCGAUUCGCUAUUUAAUCAAAUAAAUAAAGUAGGGAAGAGAAGUCAUUUGGGAAAGUUUUAUAAGCGUAACGAACUCCUAGAAUUUUAAUCAGUUAAGUAAAAUAGGCAAUAGUCCGUGAAGUGAACUGUUCUUUUUGCAUUUACAGUGUACCUCGACCACUAAUCUGAUUAAAAAAAACAUGAGGUUUUUAUUUGGCAGUUACCGUGUAAUGGUAAAUAAAACAGCUUUCAGUGGAGAUGCUGGCAAUUCAUUUACAUCAGAAAUAAGCGACACUUCCAUGAGUUCAAUUCAUAGAAAUUGAAUUGUUCAAUUGUUCUUCAUUUGUUCUUUUCUGUUAUUUUUGAUUUAUUGCAGGUGACCAUUUAUUUACAAUAAUAAUUAGCCUAAAAAUGUGUAACUGUAUCCAUUGGUAGUUGUUUUUGUAAUUUCGUUUACCAUGUGAAACAUUGUCACAAACAAGCUCACUGGACCAAAAAUAUCUGCUAUUCUAUUAUUUAAAUUUGUAAUUGUUUGAAACAUAGCAAAUACGGGAUACAUCCAAUUUUAUACAUAAAAUGCAUCAAGGAGUUCGGUUUAAUGUUUGAAUUUAUUUAUGUACAUAAAUAAUAUAUGUAAAGGAUUCACGAGAUUUUAAAUGAUCAACUUUUUUUUUAUUAAAAAAAAACGUUUACUUAAAAAUGAAUGGCGUACAAAUAACGUGUUCAAGCUAAGUCAAGUAGUAUAAAAAACAUCAGCAAAUUUGCUUAUAAUUUUUUAAGAUUUUAUUUCUGAAGAAUCAAUUCUUCAAUCAAUAAAGGUUGAAUGAGAACACACUCUCAAAAAAGUACGUAAAGGCAAGAUGGAAUUAAAUUCAUAGCUUAAAACACUUUGAUUUUAAUCUCGUACAUAAAGCGCCCACUUUUUCUGAAAUUGGUUGAUGCGUUCAAUACGAAUAUAGACAGUAAGUUAUUUAUAAAAAGUCGAUACAAUUUUUUAUUGUCUAGUUAUAUUCACAUUUUGGAGUAGUUUGGUGGGUUUCUUAAUUAUUAGCUAAGCGUGACACCACUUUCAUAUUUUUCAUUUUUAAUUUCUUCCUACUUAUUACAUACAUAUUUAUAUCUUUCAAUUGUUGUCUUUUUUGUAUGCAUUUUCAAACUCCAUGUUCACAUUAAUCGGAAUUUCUAAGUCAAAAUUGUAUCAUCCGUACAAACCUAAACCGUAUCUAAAAAAUUAUCCUGAUUGUAAACCUAAGAGCAUAACAAUAUUCAACUGAACUAAAAUUUGCAAUAAUUAGCAAAAGGUUGAAGUUAAAAAGCACUAGGUAUAUAUUUAGCAACUCCGUUAAAAUUGAUUAAUUACAGAUUAUUUUGGCUUGUGGCAGGAGUAAUUUAUAAAAAUCAUAGUGCUUGGAACCUGUAUAAGGAAUAUAAAUUUGCAAAUCAUGCAAAUCGGCUUUCUAGACUAAUAAUUUUAAACAGAAAUUCGUGAGCUAUUAAAAUACAUUUUAACCCACGCUUAAAA